RNAcentral lists this ribosomal RNA (250 nucleotides) under uncultured Anaerostipes sp. Its description in RNAcentral is "partial 16S ribosomal RNA". It matches the Rfam family "Bacterial small subunit ribosomal RNA", at positions 524 to 773 of the family's 1533-position model. Lineage: Bacteria; Bacillati; Bacillota; Clostridia; Lachnospirales; Lachnospiraceae. The record is from RNAcentral.
UACGUAGGGGGCAAGCGUUAUCCGGAAUUACUGGGUGUAAAGGGUGCGUAGGUGGUAUGGCAAGUCAGAAGUGAAAACCCAGGGCUUAACUCUGGGACUGCUUUUGAAACUGUCAGACUGGAGUGCAGGAGAGGUAAGCGGAAUUCCUAGUGUAGCGGUGAAAUGCGUAGAUAUUAGGAGGAACAUCAGUGGCGAAGGCGGCUUACUGGACUGAAACUGACACUGAGGCACGAAAGCGUGGGGAGCAAAC